RNAcentral lists this long non-coding RNA (639 nucleotides) under Manacus vitellinus (golden-collared manakin). RNAcentral's name for it is "lncRNA (ENSMVIG00005008607.1)". Lineage: Eukaryota; Metazoa; Chordata; Aves; Passeriformes; Pipridae. The record is from RNAcentral.
UUUGUUCCAAAAGAAAGCCAAGAAGGACGGUGUUAAUAAAGAGAGAUUUAACUGAGGGCUGUGCUUGGAAUAAAGUGGACUACAAAAAGGUCAAAUUUGAUCAGUUGGAGCAGAUUACAAGGGCUUUAAAAGGUAGUGGUGAAGAAAUGAAACUGGGACUGUGAAGCAAUAUAGCACAAGAUUGAUUUUGGGGGUGGAGAGAAGCUGGGACAAGUGCUUAUCAGCUUGAGAAGGAGGAAGAGCUGUGCCGGGUUUGUUGUCAUUCCCACACUGAGUAGAGUACUUGCUGCUUUUGUGGUUAGCCUUCCCUGCCGUGGUUGUUCUUCCUUUUUUUAUUUUAACUUAUAUAUAUUUUAUUGUUAUUAUUACUACAAUGGUGUCUAUAAUCUCUGACUUGGAUCCUCUGAAAAGCUGGAAAGUUUUAAGAGAGACUGCCACAGAGUUAUCUGGAACAUUACCAAGGAUUUUCUGUUGGGAACGCAGAUGCACCUGCACUGAUGUGCUCUUGGAUGCCAAAGAGACUGUGUGACUAUGGGGGUUUUUUUUUUAGCUGAUUGCUUGGAUCUGACACUACAGGCUGUGCAGCUGUAGAAAAGACCUUCUCAUUUUCAUUGAGAAUAAAUAAAAUAAAAUAUUGCA